CGCUGGCGGCGCGCCUAACACAUGCAAGUCNAGCGAGAACCAGGGCUUCGGCCCUGGGGACAGCGGCGAACGGGUGAGUAACACGUGGAUAACCUGCCCUCGGCACCGGAAUAGCCCGGGGAAACCCGGAUUAAUGCCGGAUAGCCCCACAUCCCUGCGGGGAACGUGGGAAAAGGUAGCUUCGGCCUCUGGCCGAGGAUGGGUCCGCGGUGGAUUAGCUUGUUGGCGGGGUAACGGCCCACCAAGGCGACGAUCCAUAGCUGGUCUGAGAGGACGAUCAGCCACACUGGGACUGAGACACGGCCCAGACUCCUACGGGAGGCAGCAGUGGGGAAUCUUGCGCAAUGGGCGAAAGCCUGACGCAGCGACGCCGCGUGCGGGAAGAAGGCCUUCGGGUUGUAAACCGCUUUCAGGAGGGACGAAGCCACUCGGGUGAAUAGCCCAGAGGGUGACGGUACCUCCAGAAGAAGCCCCGGCUAACUACGUGCCAGCAGCCGCGGUAAUACGUAGGGGGCAAGCGUUGUCCGGAUUCAUUGGGCGUAAAGAGCGUGUAGGCGGCCAGGUAGGUCGGUUGUGAAAACUGGAGGCUCAACCUUCAGACGUCGACCGAAACCAUC
RNAcentral lists this ribosomal RNA (617 nucleotides) under uncultured soil bacterium. RNAcentral describes it as "bacterial SSU rRNA". It matches the Rfam family "Bacterial small subunit ribosomal RNA", at positions 34 to 637 of the family's 1533-position model. The record is from RNAcentral.